RNAcentral lists this ribosomal RNA (258 nucleotides) under uncultured bacterium. Its description in RNAcentral is "partial 16S ribosomal RNA". It matches the Rfam family "Bacterial small subunit ribosomal RNA", at positions 336 to 610 of the family's 1533-position model. The record is from RNAcentral.
UUCCUACGGGGGGCAGCAGUGGGGAAUAUUGCACAAUGGGGGAAACCCUGAUGCAGCGACGCCGCGUGAGUGAAGAAGUAUUUCGGUAUGUAAAGCUCUAUCAGCAGGGAAGAAAAAAGACGGUACCUGACUAAGAAGCCCCGGCUAACUACGUGCCAGCAGCCGCGGUAAUACGUAGGGGGCAAGCGUUAUCCGGAUUUACUGGGUGUAAAGGGAGCGUAGACGGCGCGGCAAGUCUGAAGUGAAAGGCAGGGGCUU